Molecule: ribosomal RNA, 174 nt
Filed under: Cyphocaris challengeri
Lineage: Eukaryota; Metazoa; Arthropoda; Malacostraca; Amphipoda; Cyphocarididae
Description: 5.8S ribosomal RNA
Source: RNAcentral
ACUCUGAACGGUGGAUCACUUGGUCUGUGGAUGCUAUGAAGACCAUAGCUAAGUGUGAGAAUAUCAGCGAGCCGUCGCUAUAUGCGCUGACCUCUUCUCUCAUAAGUCGAAUGCACAUUGCGCUCUACCCAGUGAUUGGCGUAACACCAGACCAAAGCUGGCUUGAUCUGUAGC